GGUUAAGCGACUAAGCGUACACGGUGGAUGCCCUGGCAGUCAGAGGCGAUGAAGGGCGUGCUAAUCUGCGAUAAGCGCCGGUAAGGUGAUAUGAACCGUUAUAACCGGCGAUACCCGAAUGGGGAAACCCAGUGUGACUCGUCACACUAUCAUUAACUGAAUCCAUAGGUUAAUGAGGCGAACCGGGGGAACUGAAACAUCUAAGUACCCCGAGGAAAAGAAAUCAACCGAGAUUCCCCCAGUAGCGGCGAGCGAACGGGGAGGAGCCCAGAGCCUGAAUCAGCAUGUGUGUUAGUGGAAGCGUCUGGAAAGACGCGCGAUACAGGGUGACAGCCCCGUACACAAAAGCGCAUGUGCUGUGAGCUCGAUGAGUAGGGCGGGACACGUGGUAUCCUGUCUGAAUAUGGGGGGACCAUCCUCCAAGGCUAAAUACUCCUGACUGACCGAUAGUGAACCAGUACCGUGAGGGAAAGGCGAAAAGAACCCCGGCGAGGGGAGUGAAAAAGAACCUGAAACCGUGUACGUACAAGCAGUGGGAGCACCCUUUGGGGUGUGACUGCGUACCUUUUGUAUAAUGGGUCAGCGACUUAUAUUCUGUAGCAAGGUUAACCGUAUAGGGGAGCCGUAGGGAAACCGAGUCUUAAC
This 645-nucleotide ribosomal RNA is filed under the name Salmonella enterica. RNAcentral's name for it is "partial 23S ribosomal RNA". It matches the Rfam family "Bacterial large subunit ribosomal RNA", at positions 1 to 688 of the family's 2925-position model. The record is from RNAcentral. Lineage: Bacteria; Pseudomonadati; Pseudomonadota; Gammaproteobacteria; Enterobacterales; Enterobacteriaceae.